CUACGGGAGGCAGCAGUGGGGAAUAUUGGACAAUGGGCGCAAGCCUGAUCCAGCAAUGCCGCGUGAGUGAUGAAGGCCUUCGGGUUGUAAAGCUCUUUCGCACGCGACGAUGAUGACGGUAGCGUGAGAAGAAGCCCCGGCUAACUUCGUGCCAGCAGCCGCGGUAAUACGAAGGGGGCUAGCGUUGUUCGGAAUUACUGGGCGUAAAGGGCGCGUAGGCGGUACUUCAAGUCAGGCGUGAAAGCCCCGGGCUCAACCUGGGAACCGCGCUUGAGACUGGAGAACUAGAGUUCGGGAGAGGAUGGUGGAAUUCCCAGUGUAGAGGUGAAAUUCGUAGAUAUUGGGAAGAACACCGAUGGCGAAGGCAGCCAUCUGGACCGACACUGACGCUGAGGCGCGAAAGCGUGGGGAGCAAACAGGAUUAGAUACCCUGGUAGUCCACGCCGUAAACGAUGAGUGCUAGAC
RNAcentral lists this ribosomal RNA (465 nucleotides) under uncultured Azospirillum sp. Its description in RNAcentral is "bacterial SSU rRNA". It matches the Rfam family "Bacterial small subunit ribosomal RNA", at positions 339 to 821 of the family's 1533-position model. The record is from RNAcentral. Lineage: Bacteria; Pseudomonadati; Pseudomonadota; Alphaproteobacteria; Rhodospirillales; Azospirillaceae.